CUUGAGAGAAGGAUUUGUUCCACACAGUGUCUGAACCGGGAACUUCAGGAAUCCAUGACCACGUGGGAGAAUGGUUUGGGAGAAGUGGAUCUUCUUGAUCCACCCCUAAGAGUUCUUCAGAAAGGUUCUUCCUCAUUCAUUUCAUUUUUCAUAACUACCAUACGUUCUUAUGACAGAGAACGUAUCUGAUGCCUG
Physeter macrocephalus (sperm whale) is the source of this 195-nucleotide long non-coding RNA. RefSeq lists it as uncharacterized. The record is from RefSeq and is a predicted model, not a curated record. NCBI's taxonomy places the organism in Eukaryota, Metazoa, Chordata, Mammalia, Artiodactyla, Physeteridae. The transcript has 3 exons.